This 1071-nucleotide unclassified non-coding RNA is filed under the name Hevea brasiliensis (rubber tree). The record is from RNAcentral. Lineage: Eukaryota; Viridiplantae; Streptophyta; Magnoliopsida; Malpighiales; Euphorbiaceae.
UACUCCCAUUGCUGGUAUACAUCUGGGUAUACCGACCAGCAUCCUUUUCCAUUGUUUUAACUUUUAUGCAACGCUGUUUUUUUUUUGGUUAUAUUUUCAUUUAGCCUCUUAAAUUAAUGUGAACUUCUAUCUAAUUGUCACGCAGGGCUGGAACAUCUGAUUGCUAAAAAUGAAGAUGAAUACGUCCAGUUGGCUUUGCAGCUUGCCUCAGACAUACCAGCUCUCUCAAACUUGAGAAUGAGUCUCAGGGAUCUUAUGUCAAAGUCUCCUGUCUGUGAUGGACCAAACUUCACUCUUGGCUUAGAGUCUGCCUAUCGAAACAUGUGGCAUAAAUAUUGUAAGGGUGACAUUCCAUCUUUAAAGCUGAUGGAACAGCUUCAAGAGCAGGGGCUUUCUGAAGCAGCACCUAUCACAAGCUCUGAACCAAUAGGAAGUAUCCCAUUCUCAGUAGAAGGCCCUCCUGAAUCUGUCAAGGUAAAUGGAUUUAAUGCAGUCUCAUCAUCAAUGGGGAAUCCCUCUUCCGAGGAAAAAGGCAGUCACAGUCAGUUGAAUCAAGAUAAGCUGAGCUGAAACUGAAUUGGGUCUUGGUGGUUCAUGUAAGGUGAUUGGAGACAUGCUUGGAGUUUAUAUCUACACUGUUGACGAGGCCUCCUGUUUGUGUAAUGUUUGUGGCUGUAUCCUGCGGAGUUAAAGCUCAGUGUUCACCAUGGUGGUAGCCCUACGUUUCGUAUUAUAGGAUCGAAUUUUUUGGGAAAGAGUGCUGGCAAAUUGUUGGUAUUUGGAUUCUUUCUUCAUAACAGAGUACAUGAAUUGGGAAGAGAUGAUCUGUGAGCUGUUAAGAGUAGGUGCCUGUCUCAUUUUUUUUUUCCAUGGAUCAUAUCAUAGGGUUUAAAGGUGGCUUGUAAAUUGUAAGGAGAGCUUUUCUUUCUUUUUUAGAUUUUUAGAUGGCUGGGGUAGAUCACCAGGGGAGGGGGGGAGUUUAUGAUUUAGUCCAUGUAUGAAUGCGAUCCCGUGAUUUCACUACAGUGAAUAUGAUGAAAUAGAGCAAAUAUUAGUCACAUGAUUUACUGA